AACGCGAAGAACCUUACCAGCCUUUGACAUGGCGGGACGGUCCAGAGAGACUUGGAUCUUCACUUCGGUGACCCGCGCACAGGUGCUGCAUGGCUGUCGUCAGCUCGUGUCGUGAGAUGUUGGGUUAAGUCCCGCAACGAGCGCAACCCACGUCCUCAGUUGCCAUCAUUCAGUUGGGCACUCUGGGGAGACUGCCGGUGAUAAGCCGCGAGGAAGGUGUGGAUGACGUCAAGUCCUCAUGGCCCUUACGGGCUGGGCUACACACGUGCUACAAUGGCGGUGACAGAGGGACGCGAGCCCGCGAGGGUCAGCCAAUCUCAAAAAGCCGUCUCAGUUUGGAUUGCACUCUGCAACUCGAGUGCAUGAAGUUGGAAUCGCUAGUAAUCGUGGAUCAGCACGCCACGGUGAAUACGUUCCCGGGUCUUGUACACACCG
This 435-nucleotide ribosomal RNA is filed under the name uncultured bacterium. RNAcentral's name for it is "bacterial SSU rRNA". It matches the Rfam family "Bacterial small subunit ribosomal RNA", at positions 958 to 1392 of the family's 1533-position model. The record is from RNAcentral.